UUGCCAUUGAUCUCUGUUACUAGGAAUAAGGGAAAAAGCGAUCUCUUCUAAGCAUGCAUUUCUCCAUUUUACUGUGAAUAAGGGAAACGAAGAAUUGCAAGGCGAUAGAGUGAUACAGAUCUGUCCUCUUUCCCUUCCUAGAUGUCCAAACAACCAAUGUUGCUGUACAAUGAGGAUGAAACACUGAUUGCUUCUGUUGAGUAAUGAAUUGGCAGUGGCUUCAAGCAACAUUCUAAGGCCUUUAUGUCUUCAGGAAAUUUCUCAGGAGGUUUUACAGCUUCACUCUUCAGGGAAUUUCAUGAUGAAAACAGGAGUCUAUGUUUGAUUUGAAGAGGUUGCUCAGUUCAGAAAUGAAUGAAAGCAGCUCCACCUUGGGCAUUCACUAGACCUGUAUGUAUUUCCAUGGAACAUUAUGUUUACACAAGAGAAAGAUUCUUUUUCAAAACAUUCUCAGCUAUCCAUUCUUAUGUCCUAAUAUACAGAGGUAUAAUCGCUGC
RNAcentral lists this long non-coding RNA (497 nucleotides) under Gallus gallus (chicken). The record is from RNAcentral. Lineage: Eukaryota; Metazoa; Chordata; Aves; Galliformes; Phasianidae.